AUUCACAUAUGCGUGAAUAUGUUUCACAUAUGCGUGAAUACACUUCACAUAUGCGUGAAAUGUAUUCACGCAUAUGUGAAAAAUAUUCACGCAUAUGUGAAU
This 102-nucleotide microRNA precursor is filed under the name Melampsora larici-populina 98AG31. Its description in RNAcentral is "microRNA MIR807". Lineage: Eukaryota; Fungi; Basidiomycota; Pucciniomycetes; Pucciniales; Melampsoraceae. The record is from RNAcentral.